GACGAACGCUGGCGGCGUGCCUAAUACAUGCAAGUCGAACGCUUUUUCUUUCACCGGAGCUUGCUCCACCGAAAGAAAAAGAGUGGCGAACGGGUGAGUAACACGUGGGUAACCUGCCCAUCAGAAGGGGAUAACACUUGGAAACAGGUGCUAAUACCGUAUAACACUAUUUUCCGCAUGGAAGAAAGUUGAAAGGCGCUUUUGCGUCACUGAUGGAUGGACCCGCGGUGCAUUAGCUAGUUGGUGAGGUAACGGCUCACCAAGGCAACGAUGCAUAGCCGACCUGAGAGGGUGAUCGGCCACACUGGGACAGAGACACGGCCCAGACUCCUACGGGAGGCAGCAGUAGGGAAUCUUCGGCAAUGGACGAAAGUCUGACCGAGCAACGCCGCGUGAGUGAAGAAGGUUUUCGGAUCGUAAAACUCUGUUGUUAGAGAAGAACAAGGAUGAGAGUAGAACGUUCAUCCCUUGACGGUAUCUAACCAGGAAGCCACGGCUAACUACGUGCCAGCCGCCGCGGUAA
This 523-nucleotide ribosomal RNA is filed under the name uncultured bacterium. Its description in RNAcentral is "partial 16S ribosomal RNA". It matches the Rfam family "Bacterial small subunit ribosomal RNA", at positions 28 to 523 of the family's 1533-position model. The record is from RNAcentral.